RNAcentral lists this ribosomal RNA (644 nucleotides) under uncultured Actinomycetes bacterium. Its description in RNAcentral is "bacterial SSU rRNA". It matches the Rfam family "Bacterial small subunit ribosomal RNA", at positions 231 to 885 of the family's 1533-position model. Lineage: Bacteria; Bacillati; Actinomycetota; Actinomycetes. The record is from RNAcentral.
UCGCGGCCUAUCAGCUUGUUGGUGAGGUAAUGGCUCACCAAGGCGACGACGGGUAGCCGGCCUGAGAGGGCGACCGGCCACACUGGGACUGAGACACGGCCCAGACUCCUACGGGAGGCAGCAGUGGGGAAUAUUGCACAAUGGGCGAAAGCCUGAUGCAGCGACGCCGCGUGAGGGAUGACGGCCUUCGGGUUGUAAACCUCUUUCAGCAGGGAAGAAGCGCAAGUGACGGUACCUGCAGAAGAAGCACCGGCUAACUACGUGCCAGCAGCCGCGGUAAUACGUAGGGUGCGAGCGUUGUCCGGAAUUAUUGGGCGUAAAGAGCUUGUAGGCGGUUUGUCGCGUCUGCAGUGAAAAUCCGGGGCUCAACCCCGGACUUGCUGUGGGUACGGGCAGACUAGAGUUCGGUAGGGGAGACUGGAACUCCUGGUGUAGCGGUGAAAUGCGCAGAUAUCAGGAAGAACACCGGUGGCGAAGGCGGGUCUCUGGGCCGAUACUGACGCUGAGGAGCGAAAGCGUGGGGAGCAAACAGGAUUAGAUUCCCUGGUAGUCCACGCCGUAAACGUUGGGCGCUAGGUGUGGGGAACCUUCCACGUUCUCCGUGCCGUAGCUAACGCAUUAAGCGCCCCGCCUGGGGAGUACGG